Molecule: long non-coding RNA, 573 nt
Filed under: Nicotiana benthamiana
Lineage: Eukaryota; Viridiplantae; Streptophyta; Magnoliopsida; Solanales; Solanaceae
Description: long non-coding RNA (NBEN_LNC039649)
Source: RNAcentral
CUUGCAGGAUGUUGAUGCUACCGGUGUAGAAACAGAAGCCGACAAACAACGCAAGCGAAAGGAGAAAAGCUUGAGGGUCGACGAUGAUGACUUUGUGGACGAUUCACCCAAAGUUCAAAAAACAAAAAAUAUAGAAGGUGUCUCAUUCCCCCUCAAAGCAAAAAAAGUUGAAACACUCUAAAAAACCACAAAAUUGGUUCCACAACAAAUUUCAGUUAAGGUAAACAACUUUUUUUUUUCUCGACAAUGUUUUGUGGUUUAAUAUUUUUUUGCCAAAAAAUUAGAAUUCAAUUGUUUGUUUGGCGUCUAAGUGUUUUUUGUAAAAAUAUAAUGUAUUAUUGCAUAUUAGGGUUGCUUAUACAAAUUGUAGUUAAUUGUUGUUAUUCAGAGUUAAUGUGUAAUAAAUAUAAUGUAUUUUUGCAUAUUAGGGUUGCUUAUACAAAUUGUAGUUAAUUGUUGCUAUUCGGAGUUAAUGUGUAAUUGUUUGGCUGAAUAUACUGUGUAAUCAAAUUUAGUCAAUUGUAGUUUUUUGUAGUUUAAUGUAGUGUAAUGUAAUGUUUAUUUGGAACUGUC